Molecule: ribosomal RNA, 854 nt
Filed under: uncultured bacterium
Lineage: Bacteria
Description: bacterial SSU rRNA
Rfam family: Bacterial small subunit ribosomal RNA
Source: RNAcentral
AAUGAACGUUGGCGGCGUGGAUUAGGCAUGCAAGUCGAACGGGUCCGGCUUCGGCCGGGCCAGUGGCGGAAGGGUGAGUAAGGCGACGGCAACCAACCCCGAGGUUGGGUAUAGCCGCGGGAAACUGCGGGUAAUCCCCAGCGACGUGACGACGCCGGCAUCGGCGUUUCACCAAAGGCUUCGGCCGCCUUGGGACGGGCCGUCGUGGUAUUAGGUAGUUGGCGGGGUUACGGCCCACCAAGCCUGUGAUGCCUACCGGGCGUGCGAGCGUGGCCCGGCACACUGGGACUGAGACACUGCCCAGACUCUUACGGGAGGCUGCAGUCGAGAAUCUUCGGCAAUGGGCGCAAGCCUGACCGAGCGACGCCGCGUGGAGGAUGAAGGCCUUCGGGUUGUAAACUCCUGUCGAGGGGGAGGAAGGGGCAACCUUGACCGAUCCCUGGAGGAAGCACGGGCUAAGUUCGUGCCAGCAGCCGCGGUAAGACGAACCGUGCGAACGUUAUUCGGAAUCACUGGGCUUAAAGCGCGUGUAGGCGGAUGGGAGCGUCGGAACCUGAAAGCCCCCGGCUCAACCGGGGAAGCGGGGCCGAAACGACCCGUCUGGAGGGACGUAGGGGAUCUGGAACUUCCGGUGGAGCGGUGAAAUGCGUUGAGGUCGGAAGGAACGCCCGUGGCGAAAGCGAGAUCCUGGACGUCUUCUGACGCUGAGACGCGAAAGCUAGGGAGCAAACGGGAUUAGAUACCCCGGUAGUCCUAGCCGUAACGAUGAGCACUAGUAGGGGCUCGCCGAUGGGCUCUCUGCCGUAGGAAACUGUGAGUGCUCCGCCUGGGGAGUAUGGUCAAUCACUAGUGCG